UAUAUGCUGCGCGGUCGGUCUGGAGUAGUUCCAGGUGCGGCCGCCUGGACUGCGACUAGCGCUACGGAAAAAUUGCAGGCGCUCUCUCCCGCCAAUAGUUCCAUGGCGUAACCGCAAUUAUCGCGGCAGGCCCCUUAGAAUUUUAGGACCACGCGCAUGCACGCGCGACAGUGCACUACGACUUUGUAUCAUUUGCAGGUUUUUUGCAAAAUUACAAUCACUGUAUAGUCGUGAGUGUUUUGUGCAUGUGAUCAGACGGAGGAAAAAGCAGAUUUUCAUUCAAAGACAUAGUUAACAUCAGGAUUAAUACGUCUACUGACUUAGCCAUCGUCGAAAAUAUCCAAAUAAUUGAUUGUACCUCUAAUCUAAUGAAGAUAAAGUUCUUAGAGACUGUCCGUCGAAUUUGCAAUCCAGACUUCUACAUGGAACAGCAUCAGAAGCUGAAAUUAUCAGUUAUGUUUACCAUGUAUUGAGGCAAUACCCUGAAGGAGAAUUUAGUUGCAUUAUUUAUAUUUUGAAAACAUAAAAAUAGCAGAUCCAAACUGCUUGAAAAGAAUGGAAGGCUUUACUUCUCUACAUCGACAGUGGCAAAAGUUCUCAUACUACACGAAGUGCGACGAACUCAGAGUUGGAGUCCAGAGAGGUUUAUCGCUUUAGCUGAUGAUUGUGCCCAACUCUUUGAAGGAACGCUGAAAGAAGGAUUCUAUACGAGAUCAACCUCAGAUCAUUCUGCUGCUGGAACUCUUAAAGACAGUACGAAUAUCUUAGGGAUAAGGCAAUAGCAGUCAGUUUGAUCGAACCUACUCGAGCUCAACAUUGUUCUCAUAGAAAAAGACUAUUCGAAAGAGUUUGCAGAGCUGUAAGAAAGCGUACAACUCAUAGAUGCAACAUACAUAAGCAAAUGGAAUAGUACAGCUGUGAAUAAACGUAAACUGUUAUAUAAAAUGAUCAAACUGCGAUUUUCGCAUGUUCCCAAAUCUUACGAAUCCUGCAGGAUAUAUUUUAGUAUGUAUAUAUUCUCACAUUAAAAUUAAAUUUAUUGUCACAAAAUUUAUUAUUAACGAAACUAAUGAUUUUUGUGAAGGUAGAACGAGAUUUUCAUGCGUUUUUUGGGAAGCUUAACGACAUAUUCGAGAAUAAUUGGCCAUCAACUGAUGCUAAAAUUAUUAAAUUAGCUCAGAAUAAGAAAAGAGAUGGUCUCAUUAAAGACAUUUUUAAAGUAAAUCCAAAUUUUAUAUAAAAAGGUAAUUCUAAUAUUUUUAUUAUAGCAUGCCAGUCAAGAAUUGUCUCUUCACAGAAGUAAACUGUGAGAUUUUCGAUUGACUUUCUAUCUUAGGUCAUCGUUCUUGAGAAAGUUGAUAAAUUCUUCAAUAGCAAUUUAUAUGCAUAAUAA
Molecule: long non-coding RNA, 1393 nt
Organism: Nasonia vitripennis (jewel wasp)
Lineage: Eukaryota; Metazoa; Arthropoda; Insecta; Hymenoptera; Pteromalidae
Exons: 3
Source: RefSeq, a predicted model, not a curated record